This 3495-nucleotide long non-coding RNA is filed under the name Homo sapiens (human). RNAcentral's name for it is "non-protein coding lnc-KLF6-17:2". Lineage: Eukaryota; Metazoa; Chordata; Mammalia; Primates; Hominidae. The record is from RNAcentral.
AUUCUACUGAGAAUCUGACCCAAACCACAUGAACCUCAGAGACAGCCUGGGAUGGUGUUUCAGAGGUGGUCAGACCGGAGGCCCCAGCCCCCUUCCUCCCAAACCCUCCCUCCAGGUGUGUCUGCAGAGAGCCAGCUGAUGUCUUCCGGCCGAUGUCACCAGGUGCAGGGUCUCGAGUCUGCAGCUGCUGAGCUGGAGUUAUUUGUAAAAAAUGGUAGCAGCAAGACAAUAGAUAGACAUCUUGUCCUGAAGGCAGCAGGGCAAUGACUCACGCGGAUGAAUCAUUUUAAAUUAGUCCAGAGGGUCUCGGGGGAACCAAGUUCUAAAUUCAGGAAACAUCAGGCUCUGACCAAGCAAAGACUGCCAACUCAAUUUCAUGAUUCUAGAAAAAGAAUUAAGAGAGUUUUUCGCUAGAAGAAAGCAUAGAGAACAUGUUAUUCAAUGGCAUAAUUCUGUAGAUGUGAAAACAGAAGUCCAAGAUCCAAAAGUCACUUAGCAAAGCCAGACAAAACUGCAGGUCUUCUGAUUCUCAGCUUGGGAAUUCUCUCUGCCAUGCCAUUGGGGCGCACUGCUCACUGUUUGGAAAACUACCGCACAAGCGUGUGAGAGCUUUGGGGUGACAUGAGCAAAUUAUUAAUUCCCCAGAGAAAACUGAGGCAUUAUUUUAUGUAGCUAGGCAAGCAUUACCCUUCCAUUAGGGAAGCAUUGGUUACAGCAUAAAUAAUAAACAAGGCCACAGCCGGAGCCAGAACUGCUCACCAAAAGUUUCUUUUUUGGUAUGAAAACUAUGAGUGAAUUUUCCCUAAGAACUUUCUGGCAACAUGUACAAAUAAAGCCACAUCCACGGUGACAAAUUGUGCUGGUUAGAGUUUAGCAGAUGACACUCUUGUUAUUGAAACAGGAACUGACUCAGCCUCAGCAGCUACAGAUCAUAUAUUUUAUUCCGUUGUGUUGUCUCAUUUGAAAAAAAACCUAUCACAUGGCAACACUGUUUGUUUUCUAAAUAAUACAUUUUCUUCAGAGAAACAUGUAAAAUACAGAUAAAGCCUUUGAGAUCUUAAUGAACGUUUUCUAGGAACCAGGAGAUAAUUUAUCAGUUAAUACGCCAAUAUUUAAAUACUGCAAAAUAUGUUUUCACAAAUAUAAUAAAAUCAAAUGAGUAUUUUUCAAUGAAAGUAAAUACAUGUUUAAUGUUUUUGAAGGGCAUAGAUUCUAGUGUUUGAAUCUGGUUGUAAAACCGUUUAUAACACUGAAUAGUAGCAUUACUGCUAUUAACUAAAAAUGGAUUUUUUUAAACACAUUAUAAUGUACUUUUUAAGGAUUUUAUUAACUUCAGAAAUUUUGUUCAUUAUGACCAGGGCUGGGCUGAAGUUUGUCUUUGUCUAUUAAGCUUUGACAUCUACACAGUGCAAAUUGAUAAUCUAAAAAAUGUAUCUCAGGACAAGUGCUUAAAACACUUAAAGUUUCAGGUAUCCACCCAAGGCGAUUUGCCUGCUGCAUACUGAGAAUCUGUUUACAGUUCACGGGCUACUCCAGAACAAUGCCUGUGCUGCUGAACAGUGCUGAAAAUACAUAGAGAAAGAUCAUUUAAAUUCUAUGAUGAGAUAUUCACUAGUACACCCACCCAGACUUCAAUGAUUCAAAUAGCAAGGCUUUCCUGUCUCCGUAGUUAGACGUGUGACAUUUCUUGCAAUCAUGGGCUUCCCUAGUGAGAUCAGUCUCUGCCUGAGGUACCGUUUAUUUUGUAACGGGGUCUCCCACUGCUGGAAACUAUUGCAAGACCACGAAAGAUCAGAGACCCAGGGAGGUGAUGGCUGUGGCCUCUACGCACAGAAGCCACAGAGGCCUCCCUGAGGCUGAGACUGUGUCAGAACCAGGCCCAAACCCACAGCACAUCUUCCUUGCCCGCUGGCUUCUCUCUGUAAACACAACUCCCUUUCUGUGGCUCAAUUAUCUGCAGUAUACGCAGCCAUUAGAAAGACAUGGACUUUUUUUUUGUUUUUCUGCUUUUCCCUCCAUAAAUCUCAGAAUGAAUAGUUUCCAUCUGUAAUUGUUGGUUUUAUAUUUUUAAAUAGUGAACUAAGAAACAUAAUGUCUCAUUAUCUCUGAAAUGAUUCGAGCAUUUGCUGCGUGCAACUCUGUCGAUAACAGCACAAUACAGUCAUUUUACUUUGUCUGGGGGAGGGGAGACGCUUCAAGAAAGUUCCUUUUUUUUCCUCUACUAACUCUGUAUUGCUAGUUAUCUGCUGUUUCCACACUCUGCAUAGAUCUAAUUUAGGUAUUUAAAAAAAAAAAAAAGAUACUCCAGACAUUAUCGUGGAUUGGCAGUUUAGAAAACACAUGUGGCUUCAAGCCUUCUUUGCAGAUCUGAAGCAAAUUAUUUCUGUAAAUGUGUGAAAAGUUGACUUUCCUAAAAAAUGGCUUGUGGUGCAUAUGUGCUCAAAUCUAUUCAGAAAAACCACAGCGCCUGACAUUUCUUCUCCAUUAUUUUCCUUGAGACAUGAAGAGUCUUGUAUAAUUUUAGUUUUUUUUUAAUGACAGAUUCCGUCAAUUUGCUUUUUAGAGUAACGUGUUUUCUUGUGCUCUGUCAUGUAAGAUUUUACCUGAAAGCACUGAGGAAGCAACUCUCUGCCCUGCCAUCUGGUGAGGGCUUCUCGACUCAUGAGAGUGACUCGGGAUUUCUCACCAGAGGCUGGAGUCACUGUGGGAAUGCGUUCAUUUCACAUACGGCCAGUCGCACCUUCACAUUUUCACACUACUAUGACAACAUGCUACUUUAAAGCACCUUUUUUUUUUUUCUUGGUCAGGCAGUUCUGGGAUUUAACUCCUAAGCACAUGCUGCAUUUGAACAAGAUAACCUUUUAAAAUAGUGUUAUAAAUAGCACAUCACCAAGCGGAUUUUCUUUCAAUCGCACGGUAUCUGAGGACAGGAAAUUCUAGCCAAAUGUUUACUGUCUACUCAGUCCCCAAAGUUAAUCAUUAAAACUAAGACCUGGCAUGUUUUUAUUAAUCUGUUAAUCACAACAAUACUUUAUUUGAAAAUAAAUCUAAAGCUUUUAGGUUGGCGCAAAAGUAUUUGAGGUUUUUGCGUUAAAAGUAAUGGCAAUUAUCAACCUGAUAACUCAUGCAGGGUAUAAUUUGCCUUCAGCCAGCUGACAAACUCCAGCAUCUCAUGAACUAGUGGCCACAGUAGCCACGAGACCCUCUUGGGUAUGAACGAGUGUGCUUGUGUUUGUGCCUGUGUGUCUGUGUCUGUGUGUGUUUGUGUCUGUGUGUGUGUGUCUCUGUGUGUCUGUAUAUAUUAGUGUUUGUGUGUGUCUCUGUGUGUGAAUGUGUGUGUCUGUGUGUGUCUAUGUAUAUGUGCGAACAUGUGUAUGUGUGCCUCUGUGUGUAUGUGUUAGUGUGUGUAUGUGUCUGUGUGUCUCUGUGUGGGUAAGUUUGUGUGUGUUGUGUCUUUUGUGUGUGUUGUGUCUGUGUAUGUGUGUGAAUAUAUAU